GUGGUUAUUUUUGUCGAUGUGGGACUUUUGAGACAAGGUAGAAAACAACAGUAAAGUCAACGAAGCAGAGUUAAUGUCCAUGUUUGUUCAAGUAAGAAGUAUUUUCAAUUAUUAUUAGUGAGGUAAACUGAGGAACAUAGAAGAAGAUGAAGAAUAAUCAACCGUUAUGGAUUGGUUAUCUUCCAUUUUUUCAAUAAUAACUCUCUCCCACUCAGAGCUUCAACUACAACGCCGGUUCAGUAUGGAAGAAAGCCAAAUAAAGUGGAGAGGCUUGCAAGCUUGGAGC
This 286-nucleotide long non-coding RNA is filed under the name Medicago truncatula (barrel medic). Its description in RNAcentral is "long non-coding RNA (MTRU_LNC000050)". The record is from RNAcentral. Lineage: Eukaryota; Viridiplantae; Streptophyta; Magnoliopsida; Fabales; Fabaceae.